AAUGGACGAAAGUCUGACGGAGCAACGCCGCGUGAGUGAUGAAGGUUUUCGGAUCGUAAAACUCUGUUGUUAGGGAAGAACAAGUACCGUUCGAAUAGGGCGGUACCUUGACGGUACCUACCAGAAAGCCACGGCUAACUACGUGCCAGCAGCCGCGGUAAUACGUAGGUGGCAAGCGUUGUCCGGAAUUAUUGGGCGUAAAGCGCGCGCAGGCGGUUUCUUAAGUCUGAUGUGAAAGCCCCCGGCUCAACCGGGGAGGGUCAUUGGAAACUGGGGAACUUGAGUGCAGAAGAGGAGAGUGGAAUUCCACGUGUAGCGGUGAAAUGCGUAUAGAUGUGGAGGAACACCAGUGGCGAAGGCGACUCUCUGGUCUGUAACUGACGCUGAGGCGCGAAAGCGUGGGGAGCGAACAGGAUUAGAUACCCUGGUAGUCCACGCCGUAAACGAUGAGUGCUAAGUGUUAGAAGGUUUCCGCCCUUUAAUGCUGCAGCAAACGCAAU
RNAcentral lists this ribosomal RNA (500 nucleotides) under Bacillus licheniformis. RNAcentral's name for it is "bacterial SSU rRNA". It matches the Rfam family "Bacterial small subunit ribosomal RNA", at positions 370 to 861 of the family's 1533-position model. The record is from RNAcentral. Lineage: Bacteria; Bacillati; Bacillota; Bacilli; Caryophanales; Bacillaceae.